Molecule: non-coding RNA, 241 nt
Organism: Pelobates cultripes (western spadefoot toad)
Lineage: Eukaryota; Metazoa; Chordata; Amphibia; Anura; Pelobatidae
Source: the annotation of a GenBank genome assembly
AAGCAAGUUAACAUCUGAAUAGAAAUUAAACUAAUUAUUUUUUUUUUAAUGCAGGCUGUGUGAGUCACAGCCAGGGGAGGCGUGGCAAGGGAUGCAUAAACAGAAACAAACUGAUUACAUAUCUAAAUGGCAGAGAACUGAGCAGUGAGACUGUGUAGGGCAUGAUCUAUACACAAAAACUGCUUCAUUAAGCUAAACUUGUUUUGGUGGUUAUACUGUCCCCUUAACUCAAGAGACUGCC